RNAcentral lists this long non-coding RNA (231 nucleotides) under Gossypium barbadense (sea-island cotton). Its description in RNAcentral is "long non-coding RNA (GBAR_LNC016885)". Lineage: Eukaryota; Viridiplantae; Streptophyta; Magnoliopsida; Malvales; Malvaceae. The record is from RNAcentral.
GAUGCCAAAGUUUAUGUACAUCUGCACGACGACCAUUUUGAUAUACAUCAUGUCGUUUUACUAACUUUGACUUGGUCCAAUCUAGUUUGUCAUUACUCACAUUGUGUUACUCUUUUCAUUUAUUUUAUACUAAUAAUUCCAUGCAAACAAAAGUACUACUUUAACAUCUGGAAAGUGAUCAAAUUGAAUGCAAAAAAAUAUUGCAUCAAUCAUGGUUCUUUAAUGUCGUAC